UUCUCUUCUUCAAUCAGCAGACUUGGUUCACCUGAAGCUCCGUGUUCCGAGUCCUGAUUCUCUGCUGUUCCCACAUAAACCAUGUUUAUAACCGGCAGUUUUAUUUUUCAGUUUAACAGUGUGGUUAGGAACUUGUAUCUAGAGUAAACGAAGAACUGCUAGAGUUCAGUAGUGAUAGUUCCUGGGCCUCCUGAGGCCGCAGCUGCCCAAACCCGAGGUGUGGCGGGGAGUGACGGGGGAGAAAGCUCCCUUCCCCGAGGGACUGGCGCUCAGGAGCCUGGGCGAGCAGGAAAACGGGCCACCAGCCUGCAGGCCUCGUAUGGGCGAAAUGGGAUGCCUGCCCCUCCAGCGGAGACCGAAGACCAGCAAGUCUCAGGUGUGGACAAGGACACCUGUGAAGGGGCGUGGUGGAGGUGUCGCGUUGCUUCCCAGCCUGGCAAUUUUCUCUGGCUGAGGUCAGCUGCCCCGGAGAGGAGCAGAGAAGGCAAGUGUGAAGCAGUCCUAUUCCAUGUGUUAUGACCCAGAACCUACCACAAGUGGCGCCAGAACAGGGACCUGGAAUGCCUCUCUCCCAGAGCAACGAGAACAGUUGGUGGGGCUGUUUGUCCUCUGAGAUGAUGUCACCACAGCAGCAGGCAGUGCCAGAAGAUGGUGAGUGAGGUAGGGUCAAUCAGGUUCUGAGGAAAAGAAUGAUGAGCCAGUUGUUCAUCAUCAGCUGGUUUGCCUCCUAAGUAAUGAGGCAAGAGGCCGACUUUCUCAGGCAUCUGGGAGCCUCCAGAAUACAACACCAAUGAGUACUUCUUGAAAAGAUUGAAUCAGGAGUCAGUUUCUUCUUGAAAAUUGAACCAAACCAAAGAUUCUAGGAACCAAGAAACUCCUAUAAAAAGCUGGCUAUGCACUUACUGUUCCUGCUUUCUACAAAGUUCUUAAAAUCACUAGACCACACUGUGUAAAAUAUCAUGCCCCACUCUGACACUCUCCUCUCCGCCUCCUUCACCCACUUUCUUUUUAUUCGUAACAUUUAUCACAACCCACAUAUUUCCUCUAUGUGUGCAUGCAGAUAGAUUCACGAUGUUGUUUAUUAUAUGGCUCUUGCUCUGAGCUCCAUGAGAGCAGGAACUCAGUCUUAUUUACCACUAU
This is a long non-coding RNA of Suricata suricatta (meerkat), 1140 nucleotides long. RefSeq lists it as uncharacterized. The transcript has 5 exons. Lineage: Eukaryota; Metazoa; Chordata; Mammalia; Carnivora; Herpestidae. The record is from RefSeq and is a predicted model, not a curated record.